UACGGGAGGCAGCAGUGGGGAAUUUUGGACAAUGGGCGCAAGCCUGAUCCAGCAAUGCCGCGUGCAGGAUGAAGGCCUUCGGGUUGUAAACUGCUUUUGUACGGAACGAAAAAGCUCUGGUUAAUACCUGGGGCUCAUGACGGUACCGUAAGAAUAAGCACCGGCUAACUACGUGCCAGCAGCCGCGGUAAUACGUAGGGUGCGAGCGUUAAUCGGAAUUACUGGGCGUAAAGCGUGCGCAGGCGGUGAUGUAAGACAGUUGUGAAAUCCCCGGGCUCAACCUGGGAACUGCAUCUGUGACUGCAUCGCUGGAGUGCGGCAGAGGGGGAUGGAAUUCCGCGUGUAGCAGUGAAAUGCGUAGAUAUGCGGAGGAACACCGAUGGCGAAGGCAAUCCCCUGGGCCUGCACUGACGCUCAUGCACGAAAGCGUGGGGAGCAAACAGGAUUAGAUACCCUGGUAGUCCACGCCCUAAACGAUGUCAACUGGUUGUUGGGAAUUUGCUUUCUCAGUAACGAAGCUAACGCGUGAAGU
RNAcentral lists this ribosomal RNA (532 nucleotides) under uncultured Xenophilus sp. RNAcentral's name for it is "bacterial SSU rRNA". It matches the Rfam family "Bacterial small subunit ribosomal RNA", at positions 340 to 865 of the family's 1533-position model. The record is from RNAcentral. Lineage: Bacteria; Pseudomonadati; Pseudomonadota; Betaproteobacteria; Burkholderiales; Comamonadaceae.